RNAcentral lists this long non-coding RNA (256 nucleotides) under Panax ginseng (ginseng). RNAcentral describes it as "long non-coding RNA (PGIN_LNC018890)". The record is from RNAcentral. Lineage: Eukaryota; Viridiplantae; Streptophyta; Magnoliopsida; Apiales; Araliaceae.
ACUACUCCAUUUCUCUCUCUCCAUUAUUUUCUCUCUCCUAAAAUUUUAGGUUUUCUCUGUGGUUACUGUAUCAAACUUUCACAGUGAGUCGGACACAAUGGGUUCAAUCGCCGAUCCCGGCGAGUUGACUCAGCCGCCGAGCUUUGACGAGUUCCAGAGGCAAACCUCUCUCAUGACCAGCUGCACUCUACUCUGGAAGGAACUCUCCGAUCACUUCACCUCUCUCGAGCAAGACAUCAUGAAGAAAUCUGACGCC